This 74-nucleotide transfer RNA is filed under the name Acidobacteriota bacterium. RNAcentral describes it as "Acidobacteria bacterium tRNA-Gln". It matches the Rfam family "tRNA". Rfam says of the family: Transfer RNA (tRNA) molecules are approximately 80 nucleotides in length. Their secondary structure includes four short double-helical elements and three loops (D, anti-codon, and T loops). The record is from RNAcentral. Lineage: Bacteria; Pseudomonadati; Acidobacteriota. RNAcentral also lists the same sequence under 1 other name.
UCCCCGAUCGUCUAAAGGUAAGACAGCGGCCUUUGGAGCCGUGAAUCGUGGUUCGAAUCCAUGUCGGGGAGCCA